This is a non-coding RNA of Asterophora parasitica, 115 nucleotides long. The record is from the annotation of a GenBank genome assembly. NCBI's taxonomy places the organism in Eukaryota, Fungi, Basidiomycota, Agaricomycetes, Agaricales, Lyophyllaceae.
GGUGGGAUGGCCGAGCGGUCUAAGGCGCCAGACUAGGGACCAACAUGCCCAGCGUGUACCCAAAUCUGGUCAUUCGGGGCGUGAGUUUGAAUCUCACAGUUGUCAUUUUCUUCCU